Molecule: unclassified non-coding RNA, 323 nt
Filed under: soil metagenome
Description: partial contains 5.8S ribosomal RNA, internal transcribed spacer 2, and large subunit ribosomal RNA
Rfam family: 5.8S ribosomal RNA (bases 2-120)
Source: RNAcentral
UAUGAAGAACGCAGUGAAAUGCGAUAAGUAAUGCGAAUUGCAGAAUUCAGUGAGUCAUCGAAUCUUUGAACGCACAUUGCGCCCUGUGGUAUUCCGCAGGGCAUGCCUGUUCGAGCGUCAUUUCAACCCUCAAGCUCUGCUUGGUGUUGGGCCCUGCCCGCUGCGGCCGGCCCUAAAGACAGUGGCGGUGCCGCCUGGCCCUGAGCGUAGUACAUCUCUCGCUCCAGUGCCCGGUGGUAGCCUGCCAGAACCCCAACUCUCGUGGUUGACCUCGGAUCAGGUAGGGAUACCCGCUGAACUUAAGCAUAUCAAUAAGCGGAGGA